RNAcentral lists this ribosomal RNA (460 nucleotides) under uncultured bacterium. RNAcentral's name for it is "partial 16S ribosomal RNA". It matches the Rfam family "Bacterial small subunit ribosomal RNA", at positions 338 to 795 of the family's 1533-position model. The record is from RNAcentral.
CCUACGGGUGACAGCAGUGAGGAAUAUUGGUCAAUGGACGAGAGUCUGAACCAGCCAAGUAGCGUGAAGGAUGACUGCCCUAUGGGUUGUAAACUUCUUUUAUAUGGAAAUAAACUGUUCCACGUGUGGGAUUUUGUAUGUACCAUAUGAAUAAGGAUCGGCUAACUCCGUGCCAGCAGCCGCGGUAAUACGGAGGAUCCGAGCGUUAUCCGGAUUUAUUGGGUUUAAGGGGAGCGUAGGUGGAUUGUUAAGUCAGUUGUGAAAGUUUGCGGCUCAACCGUAAAAUUGCAGUUGAAACUGGCAGUCUUGAGUACAGUAGAGGUGGGCGGAAUUCGUGGUGUAGCGGUGAAAUGCUUAGAUAUCACGAAGAACUCCGAUUGCGAAGGCAGUUCACUGGACUGCAACUGACACUGAGGCUCGAAAGUGUGGGUAUCAAACAGGAUUAGAUACCCGUGUAGUC